Molecule: ribosomal RNA, 301 nt
Filed under: uncultured bacterium
Lineage: Bacteria
Description: partial 16S ribosomal RNA
Rfam family: Bacterial small subunit ribosomal RNA
Source: RNAcentral
CAGUAGCCGCGGGAAUACAGAGGGUGCGAGCGUUAAUCGGAUUUACUGGGCGUAAAGCGUGCGUAGGCGGCUUCUUAAGUCGGAUGUGAAAUCCCUGAGCUUAACUUAGGAAUUGCAUUCGAUACUGGGAAGCUAGAGUAUGGGAGAGGAUGGUAGAAUUCCAGGUGUAGCGGUGAAAUGCGUAGAGAUCUGGAGGAAUACCGAUGGCGAAGGCAGCCAUCUGGCCUAAUACUGACGCUGAGGUACGAAAGCAUGGGGAGCAAACAGGAUUAGAUACCCCUGUAGUCCCUGUCUCUUAUAC